Molecule: long non-coding RNA, 1564 nt
Organism: Equus caballus (horse)
Lineage: Eukaryota; Metazoa; Chordata; Mammalia; Perissodactyla; Equidae
Source: Ensembl
GAAAAGUACACCUGGGGAGGUAGGGACAGGGACAGGGGAGAGAAGGAGAGAGGCAGCCUCCAUAAAAGAAGCAGUUUCCAGAAACAGAAGCUUGAGACAUUUCCAGUAUACGUCCUUUGCUGAGAAUCAACACUACCCUUAAAUCUGAGUUAUCCCAUGAACCCUUUUAUCUGUUUUUUGUUCAAGCUGACUGAAGUUGUUUUAUGUUAAUUGCAGCCAAAUAUUCCUGAAUCAUGGGAUGAGAGAGAGAGAAAGAGAAUUGUAUAAGAAACCAGAGAGAAAUAAAGUACUAAUUUGAUGCUGACUUAACUGGCAGCCUUUACAAAAGAAAGAAAAAUAAUAGACCGGAUAAUACUUCUCACCUCAUACAAGGCAGAAAGAUGUUUUGGGAGAAGUAGAGAAUUCAAGACAACAUUUGAGUAAGCAUGUGAAAAUGCCUCUCAAAUGGAUCCAGUAGAUUUUGGAAGGGAUGUGUCCAUGGAGACUCUUCAAGUUGAGAAUGUGUCUAACCUACCUUGUAUUUGUCAAUAGGGUCUAACUCAGUAACUGGCACAGAGUAGGUACUCGCCCCAGAUCUCAAGCGUAACAGGAAAUAUGGACUAAAACAAAGUCUAUCUUCAAAGCUUUUAGCACCAUAUCUGUACCAUGGGAAAGGAAACAUUUGAUAAAGGAAUUAGAACAGAAAUCGUAACGGAUUCGGCGGAACAAGGGAAGUUUCAGUUCUGCCUGGUUACCUUCCAAGGUCACUCUGAACUUUGCAAACUUCAUUUAAUCUGCAGAAUUACCUUGUAGCAGGAAAUGUAAAAUAUUGGCUGCAAGAAGAAAUAAAAUCCAUGACAAUGGACUAAUAUCAUCUGUGAUGCCCACUCACUUCUACGUGGCAUGUGAGAACCAAUGCAUCUAUCUGCCUCAAUUAUACAGACACAGAUGUGGGGGCUUUACUGUCAUCUUCUGUGCCCAAGCAUGGCUUGAUGAGCAGUGCAUAGAUCCGUGCCCGGGAUCUGAACUGGUGAACUCCAGGCUGCUGAAGGAGAGCACACGAACUUAACCCCUACUCCACCAGGCUGGCCCCAACCAUAGCUUCUUGACCGGUAUCAGAAACCCAACUCAAGGCUGAACCUGGUUACACUUAUGAUUGUCAUGACCUGAGGGAAACUGGACAUCUGAAAGGACCUCAUUAACACUGUGCACCAGUGAAAGAAUGGAUGGAAGAAGGAAUGAGCGAAUACUGAUGCUGGGAACUGAAGCGGAGCAUCUUGAUGUCACUAAAGCUCUUAAAGAAACACAGUCACUACUUUCUGACCUACUACGUGCAGCCUGUUGGAUAGUGCUUUGUUGAAAUCCAGAAUGUAAAGUUGAGCUUUGUAAAAUUUCCAACUUUUGAAUGAGAUUUCAUAAAGCGUGGAUUCGUUUGUAGAAUCAUAAACGUCAAUGCAUCUGAAUAAAACCCAUCUAUUUUUAUUUAAAGGCAAAAAAGUAUAACAAUAUGCUAGAAGAAUUAAAAUGUAAUUAACUGAUCAUUGGAAUUUGAUUUUUAACAAGAAUUAAUUUGCAGAAAACAGAA